GAUGGACGUUCAUCCCUAGUGGCAGCACAGAGCAGCCAGGUGCGGUGCCUCAACACCUAAAGUCCCAGCACGUUGGGAGGCCAAGGCAGGCGGAUUACUUGAGCUUGGGGCCUGGCAGCUUGCAGAGCCAGCAGAUUCAACGUUAUUUGGCUGUCCAGUGGAAAGGUGGAGAAACUGAGGCCCUGCCCAUGAUAGGACUCAUCAAAGGCCACAUGUCAAUAAUCGGUAAAUAACCUGAAAAGUGAGUUCAACCAGGAGCCCUCAAAGUCAUGCCACUUCCUGCCCCAGGAAGCACGAGGAACCUCCAUCUUCAUUUGUGCUGACAACAUAACCUUAGAGAUGAGAAGUCUUAUCAGAAGCCAUCUGAAUCCAGCCAUCCCAGAAGCAUCCUGAGCCAAAGCCAAAGUGUAGUAGCCAGGCUGCUGGAGGGCUCGGAUGUGGCCUGGACCUGGCUCCACGAAGAUGAAGUGCUCCACAGCCCCUCUCACAGGAAUGAAGGCAGGAGAUAAAGGAUGUACCACAUCAGCAAGGAAGCAGCCCUUCAUGUGUACCUCACAGGUGCAGAAGAGCUCAGGAGAAAACUGGGGACAAAAGGCACUGACUUUGAAAGCCCUGAAAGGCCAGAACACCCACUACCAGAUUAUGUAUGAUCUCAGGAGAUGUGUACGGGUUCAAGUUGACAAGAGGUGGACUUGUGAUGGACUUCUGACAAGGAGUGGACUUGUGAUUACUACUCCAAGAAAAUUGAGACAGGACCUCUCCCUAACUCAUUCUAUGAGGCCAGCAUUAUCCUGAUACCAAAACCUGGCAGAGAUACAAA
This 820-nucleotide long non-coding RNA is filed under the name Callithrix jacchus (white-tufted-ear marmoset). Its description in RNAcentral is "lncRNA (ENSCJAG00000079583.1)". The record is from RNAcentral. Lineage: Eukaryota; Metazoa; Chordata; Mammalia; Primates; Cebidae.